CAUUUUAUGUAGGAUGCUAAUUUAGACGUGCUGCAGAGAAGCGCACUUCCAUGUUGGCUUCAUGGAUCCAUCCCUAGUUAACCAAUAAUAUCAGUUAGAGAAAAUGUUGGUGGAAGUAUACAAUUUCCUGGACAAAUAAUAUUACAAGAGUUACAUACUACUGCCAUACAACUUUGAGUAAGUGUGGGUAUAGUCUAUUUUUGUUUUCUUUUUUCUUACCUGAUUAAUGUUAGUUAGCUCUAAUAUGAACAUUUACGUACGCAGUUUCCAUUGGAUCCUCCUAGUAAUUGAGCCUGAUAAAAGCCACGUCACUGUUCGAUUCGUUGAGGAAAAAACCAACGGACUACCAAGACAUUCAAGACAUGUUAAACUUGUAAUAAUUUUGGACCUUUAUCUAUAUGCAAAAGUUUGUUUCCUAAAUUUUCACCUAACACUGUAUCAUUCAUUAUUUUAAUCCAUAGCGUAUGGAAACAAUUACUGAAACACAAAGGUCCAUUCAAAGAAAAAAUUACAUUCAACACAGACUUUCCAGUACAUAUGAAGUUUGCACAUUUUGUACAUUCUAUAGCACGAAUACUUCAUAAAUUAUUUUUUUUAAGAUAGGAACCUAGGAAUAAUGUACGUGGGUACUACGUCUGUGAGUACAUGUACAGUUUUGUGGGACCCAAGGGCCGGACGACGCCGCAUGACAUGAAG
Molecule: long non-coding RNA, 696 nt
Filed under: Setaria italica (foxtail millet)
Lineage: Eukaryota; Viridiplantae; Streptophyta; Magnoliopsida; Poales; Poaceae
Description: long non-coding RNA (SITA_LNC005025)
Source: RNAcentral